GACGAACCUGACGAACGUUAUUCGGAAUCACUGGGCUUAAAGGGUGCGUAGGCUGUGCAGAAAGUUGGGUGUGAAAUCCCUCGGCUUAACCGAGGAACUGCGCCCAAAACUACUGUGCUUGAGUGAGAUAGAGGUGAGCGGAACUUAGGGUGGAGCGGUGAAAUGCGUUGAUAUCCUAAGGAACACCGGUGGCGAAAGCGGCUCACUGGACCUCUUCUGACGCUGAGGCACGAAAGCUAGGGUAGCGAACGGG
RNAcentral lists this ribosomal RNA (253 nucleotides) under uncultured bacterium. Its description in RNAcentral is "partial 16S ribosomal RNA". It matches the Rfam family "Bacterial small subunit ribosomal RNA", at positions 524 to 776 of the family's 1533-position model. The record is from RNAcentral.